Molecule: ribosomal RNA, 400 nt
Filed under: uncultured bacterium
Lineage: Bacteria
Description: bacterial SSU rRNA
Rfam family: Bacterial small subunit ribosomal RNA
Source: RNAcentral
UGGGGAAUAUUGGACAAUGGGCGCAAGCCUGAUCCAGCCAUGCCGCGUGAAUGAUGAAGGCCUUAGGGUUGUAAAAUUCUUUCAACGGGGACGAUAAUGACGGUACCCGUAGAAGAAGCCCCGGCUAACUUCGUGCCAGCAGCCGCGGUAAUACGAAGGGGGCUAGCGUUGCUCGGAAUUACUGGGCGUAAAGCGUACGUAGGCGGAUUAAUAAGUUGGUGGUGAAAGCCCAGGGCUCAACCUUGGAACUGCCAUCAAAACUGUUAGUCUGGAGCAUAGUAGAGGUUAGUGGAAUUCCAAGUGUAGAGGUGAAAUUCGUAGAUAUUUGGAGGAACACCAGUGGCGAAGGCGACUGACUGGGCUAUUGCUGACGCUGAGGUACGAAAGCGUGGGGAGCAAA